GACCAAGACAUAUUGAGUUGGGGAAGAGGAUUAGAACAUGCUGACCAAGAAACAUGUUGGUUGACCAAGAUAUGUUGGGUUGGGGAAGAUGAUUGGAACAUGUUGACCAAGAAACAUGUUGGUUGACCAAGACAUAUUGGGUUGGGGAAGACGAU
This is a long non-coding RNA of Thalassophryne amazonica, 155 nucleotides long. RefSeq lists it as uncharacterized. The transcript is spliced from 2 exons. The record is from RefSeq and is a predicted model, not a curated record. NCBI's taxonomy places the organism in Eukaryota, Metazoa, Chordata, Actinopteri, Batrachoidiformes, Batrachoididae.